This 273-nucleotide unclassified non-coding RNA is filed under the name Hevea brasiliensis (rubber tree). The record is from RNAcentral. Lineage: Eukaryota; Viridiplantae; Streptophyta; Magnoliopsida; Malpighiales; Euphorbiaceae.
GUCCCUUAAAAUUGCACCCUUUCGACUUGCCAGAACUUGGAACAUUGACACUGCCUUUGUGGGUUUUAUAACCCCACCAAGCUCAGUAAAUACCCCAAUCCAGUUCCCCGGCAAAUUAAUCCUGCGGGAAAAUUUCUCUGCCGUUUGUUGACGGUCCAGAAUCUGAUAGGGAACAGAGUUUUUCUGGAAGCUGGAGAGAACGGAGAGGAGUUCCUUGUCAUCUGAUGGCCCCAUAUUGAAUUGCUGCGUUUUGAAAUAAACCUUGAAGCCGAU